This 427-nucleotide ribosomal RNA is filed under the name uncultured bacterium. RNAcentral describes it as "bacterial SSU rRNA". It matches the Rfam family "Bacterial small subunit ribosomal RNA", at positions 355 to 774 of the family's 1533-position model. The record is from RNAcentral.
UGGGGGAUUUUGGACAAUGGGCGCAAGCCUGAUCCAGCAAUGCCGCGUGCAGGAUGAAGGCCUUCGGGUUGUAAACUGCUUUUGUACGGAACGAAACGGUCUUUUCUAAUACAGAAGGCUAAUGACGGUACCGUAAGAAUAAGCACCGGCUAACUACGUGCCAGCAGCCGCGGUAAUACGUAGGGUGCGAGCGUUAAUCGGAAUUACUGGGCGUAAAGCGUGCGCAGGCGGUUAUAUAAGACAGGUGUGAAAUCCCCGGGCUUAACCUGGGAAUUGCAUUUGUGACUAUAUAGCUGGAGUACGGCAGAGGGGGAUGGAAUUCCGCGUGUAGCAGUGAAAUGCGUAGAUAUGCGGAGGAACACCGAUGGCGAAGGCAAUCCCCUGGGCCUGUACUGACGCUCAUGCACGAAAGCGUGGGGAGCAAACA